ACACGUGAGUAACCUGCCCUUAACUCUGGGAUAAGCCUUGGAAACGGGGUCUAAUACUGGAUAUUGACUUUAUGUCGCAUGGGGUAUUGUUGAAAGAUUUAUUGGUUUUGGAUGGACUCGCGGCCUAUCAGCUUGUUGGUGAGGUAAUGGCUCACCAAGGCGACGACGGGUAGCCGGCCUGAGAGGGUGACCGGCCACACUGGGACUGAGACACGGCCCAGACUCCUACGGGAGGCAGCAGUGGGGAAUAUUGCACAAUGGGCGAAAGCCUGAUGCAGCGACGCCGCGUGAGGGAUGACGGCCUUCGGGUUGUAAACCUCUUUCAGUAGGGAACAAGGCCAGGCAUUGUCUGGUUGAGGGUACUUGCAGAAGAAGCGCCGGCUAACUACGUGCCAGCAGCCGCGGUAAUACGUAGGGCGCAAGCGUUAUCCGGAAUUAUUGGGCGUAAAGAGCUCGUAGGCGGUUUGUCGCGUCUGCCGUGAAAGUCCGGGGCUCAACCCCGGAUCUGCGGUGGGUACGGGCAGACUAGAGUGAUGUAGGGGAGACUGGAAUUCCUGGUGUAGCGGUGAAAUGCGCAGAUAUCAGGAGGAACACCGAUGGCGAAGGCAGGUCUCUGGGCAUUAACUGACGCUGAGGAGCGAAAGCAUGGGGAGCGAACAGGAUUAGAUACCCUGGUAGUCCAUGCCGUAAACGUUGGGCACUAGGUGUGGGGGACAUUCCACGUUUUCCGCGCCGUAGCUAACGCAUUAAGUGCCCCGCCUGGGGAGUACGGCCGCAAGGCUAAAACUCAAAGGAAUUGACGGGGGCCCGCACAAGCGGCGGAGCAUGCGGAUUAAUUCGAUGCAACGCGAAGAACCUUACCAAGGCUUGACAUGAACUGGAAAUACCUGGAAACAGGUGCCCCGCUUGCGGUCGGUUUACAGGUGGUGCAUGGUUGUCGUCAGCUCGUGUCGUGAGAUGUUGGGUUAAGUCCCGCAACGAGCGCAACCCUUCGUUCUAUGUUGCCAGCACGUAAUGGU
Molecule: ribosomal RNA, 1019 nt
Filed under: Arthrobacter sp.
Lineage: Bacteria; Bacillati; Actinomycetota; Actinomycetes; Micrococcales; Micrococcaceae
Description: bacterial SSU rRNA
Rfam family: Bacterial small subunit ribosomal RNA
Source: RNAcentral